RNAcentral lists this ribosomal RNA (497 nucleotides) under uncultured bacterium. RNAcentral's name for it is "partial 16S ribosomal RNA". It matches the Rfam family "Bacterial small subunit ribosomal RNA", at positions 28 to 507 of the family's 1533-position model. The record is from RNAcentral.
GAUGAACGCUGGCGGCGUGCCUAAUACAUGCAAGUCGAGCGAAAAGACGAGGAGCUUGCUCCUCUGACGUUAGCGGCGGGCGGGUGAGUAACACGUGGAUAACCUACCUAUAAGACGGGGAUAACUUCGGGAAAGCGGAGCUAAUACCGGAGAAUAUCUUAAAAAGGAGGGUUCAAUAGUGGAAGCGGGUUUUGCUGUCACUUGUAGAUGGAUCCGCGCCGCAUUAGCUAGUUGGUAAGGUAACGGCCUACCAAGGCAACGAUGCGUAGGUGACCUGAGAGGGUGAUCGGCCACACUGGAACUGAGACACGGCCCAGACUCCUACGGGAGGCAGCAGUAGGGAAUCUUCCGCAAUGGGCGAAAGCCUGACGGAGCAACGCCGCGUGAGUGAUGAAGGUCUUCGGAUCGUAAAACUCUGUUAUUAGGGAAGAACAAAUGUGUAAGUAACUAUGCACGUCUUGACGGUACCUAAUCAGAAAGCCACGGCUAACUACGUG